RNAcentral lists this ribosomal RNA (410 nucleotides) under uncultured bacterium. RNAcentral's name for it is "bacterial SSU rRNA". It matches the Rfam family "Bacterial small subunit ribosomal RNA", at positions 29 to 487 of the family's 1533-position model. The record is from RNAcentral.
AACGAACGCUGGCGGCAUGCCUAACACAUGCAAGUCGAACGAUGCCUUCGGGCAUAGUGGCGCACGGGUGCGUAACGCGUGGGAAUCUGCCCUUGGGUUCGGAAUAACUCAGAGAAAUUUGAGCUAAUACCGGAUGAUGACGUAAGUCCAAAGAUUUAUCGCCCAAGGAUGGAGCCCGCGUAAGAUUAGCUAGUUGGUAGGGUAAAGGCCUACAAGGCGACGAUCUUUAGCUGGUCUGAGAGGAUGAUCAGCCACACUGAGACUGAGACACGGCCCAGACUCCUACGGGAGGCAGCAGUGGGAAUAUUGGACAAUGGGCGAAAGCCUGAUCCAGCAAUGCCGCGUGAGUGAUGAAGGCCUUAGGUUGUAAAGCUCUUUACCUAGGAUGAUAAUGACAGUACCUGGAGAAU